UAACACAUAUUCUGCUCCCGCUAACCAAGACCUAUGGGAGGAUAAAUUACGUCUUUAUAUCCAGUAGUGAGGGAUUACUGGAAAUAAGUUUCGCA
Molecule: non-coding RNA, 95 nt
Submitted as: unclassified sequences
Source: Rfam